UUGGACAAUGGGCGAAAGCCUGAUCCAGCCAUGCCGCGUGUGUGAAGAAGGUCUUCGGAUUGUAAAGCACUUUAAGUUGGGAGGAAGGGCAGUCAGUUAAUACCUUGCUGUCUUGACGUUACCAACAGAAUAAGCACCGGCUAACUUCGUGCCAGCAGCCGCGGUAAU
RNAcentral lists this ribosomal RNA (168 nucleotides) under bacterium enrichment culture DGGE band A1. RNAcentral describes it as "partial 16S ribosomal RNA". It matches the Rfam family "Bacterial small subunit ribosomal RNA", at positions 364 to 524 of the family's 1533-position model. The record is from RNAcentral.